Mycena epipterygia is the source of this 95-nucleotide non-coding RNA. NCBI's taxonomy places the organism in Eukaryota, Fungi, Basidiomycota, Agaricomycetes, Agaricales, Mycenaceae. The record is from the annotation of a GenBank genome assembly.
GCCUCUGUGGAUUAGUGGUUAAUCGCCUCGAUCAUGUGUUGUUUAAAUAAACUUCCGAUAUCGGGGAGUCGUGGGUUCGAAUCCCACCGGAGGCA